Molecule: ribosomal RNA, 536 nt
Filed under: uncultured bacterium
Lineage: Bacteria
Description: bacterial SSU rRNA
Rfam family: Bacterial small subunit ribosomal RNA
Source: RNAcentral
UGGGCAGCUACACAUGCAGUCGACGGAUCCUUCGGGACUAGUGGCGGACGGGUGAGUAACACGUGGGAACGUGCCCUUUGGUUCGGAACAACUCAGGGAAACUUGAGCUAAUACCGGAUGUGCCCUUCGGGGGAAAGAUUUAUCGCCAUUGGAGCGGCCCGCGUCUGAUUAGCUAGUUGGUGGGGUAAAGGCCCACCAAGGCGACGAUCAGUAGCUGGUCUGAGAGGAUGAUCAGCCACAUUGGGACUGAGACACGGCCCAAACUCCUACGGGAGGCAGCAGUGGGGAAUCUUGCGCAAUGGGCGAAAGCCUGACGCAGCCAUGCCGCGUGAAUGAUGAAGGUCUUAGGAUUGUAAAAUUCUUUCACCGGGGACGAUAAUGACGGUACCCGGAGAAGAAGCCCCGGCUAACUUCGUGCCAGCAGCCGCGGUAAUACGAAGGGGGCUAGCGUUGCUCGGAAUUACUGGGCGUAAAGGGAGCGUAGGCGGACUGUUUAGUCAGAGGUGAAAGCCCAGGGCUCAACCUUGGAAUUGCCU